RNAcentral lists this ribosomal RNA (468 nucleotides) under uncultured bacterium. Its description in RNAcentral is "partial 16S ribosomal RNA". It matches the Rfam family "Bacterial small subunit ribosomal RNA", at positions 28 to 507 of the family's 1533-position model. The record is from RNAcentral.
GACGAACGCUGGCGGCGUGCUUAACACAUGCAAGUCGAACGGAAAGGCCCUGCUUUUGUGGGGUGCUCGAGUGGCGAACGGGUGAGUAACACGUGAGUAACCUGCCCUUGACUUUGGGAUAACUUCAGGAAACUGGGGCUAAUACCGGAUAGGAGCUCCUGCUGCAUGGUGGGGGUUGGAAAGUUUCGGCGGUUGGGGCUGGACUCGCGGCUUAUCAGCUUGUUGGUGGGGUAGUGGCUUACCAAGGCUUUGACGGGUAGCCGGCCUGAGAGGGUGACCGGCGACAUGGGGACUGAGAGACGGCCCAGACUCCUACUGGAGGCAGCAGUGGGGAAUAUUGCACAAUGGGGGGAAGCCUGAGGCAGCAACGCCGCGUGCGGGAUGACGGCCUUCGGGUUGAAAACCGCGUUCGCCUGUGACGAAGCGUGAGUGACGGUAAUGGGUAAAGAAGCACCGGCUAACUACGUG